Molecule: long non-coding RNA, 611 nt
Organism: Austrofundulus limnaeus
Lineage: Eukaryota; Metazoa; Chordata; Actinopteri; Cyprinodontiformes; Rivulidae
Exons: 4
Source: RefSeq, a predicted model, not a curated record
GAGAGUUUUACUGUGUGGCUGCAAAUAAUCUGGGUAAUCAGACGUCACCUGUGAUCAUUUUUGUUGUUGAAGUUAAACCAGUGUUUUGGUUCAGUCUUUAUGUUCCACUGAGGAUCCUGGGGAUUGUAACACUCUGCAGUUCAGUCGUCAUCUUCGAGUGCUGCUUUAGAUCAAGAUUCUUCAACAAACCAAAGAAGGCCUCAGAAGAAGCAGAUUAUAUCAACCAAGUGAUCGAGGUUCAAGCUUCUUGAGACUAAAGAAGACGAGGAUGUCCUCUGUCAAGAUUUGUUUUUUCUACCUGUGUCAUCAGUACUCUCUGCUCUCUCUUCAGUYCAGCAUUAUUUGUCCUCUCUGUUCACUCGUGGCUUUUGGAUUUUGUUCUGUUAUUCGUUUUUUUUUAUUCAGUUAAUAGAGUUUGAGUUUUUGUUUUAAACUCCUUGCCUCUGUCAGCAUUUGGCUCCAUUCUACAUAAACACCCCCCACCUCCACAGUUUUCUAUAUAAAACACUGUUGCUGUAAUACUUUACUAUUCAGUGUUUUUCUCCUGUUUAGUAACAUGUUGGUUGACGUCACACCUCUGAACCAGUCUGAGUCRAUCACAGAGAGGUGUU